This 116-nucleotide small nuclear RNA is filed under the name Sinocyclocheilus anshuiensis. RNAcentral's name for it is "U5 spliceosomal RNA (ENSSANG00000021395.1)". It matches the Rfam family "U5 spliceosomal RNA". From Rfam's summary of the family: U5 RNA is a component of both types of known spliceosome. The precise function of this molecule is unknown, though it is known that the 5' loop is required for splice site selection and p220 binding, and that both the 3' stem-loop and the Sm site are important for Sm protein binding and cap methylation. Lineage: Eukaryota; Metazoa; Chordata; Actinopteri; Cypriniformes; Cyprinidae. The record is from Rfam by way of RNAcentral.
AGCUCGAGUUUCUCUUCAUUAUCGCAUAAACCUUUCGCCUUUUACUAAAGAUUUCCGUGGAGGGGAACUUCUUGCGAGUGCCCUGUGUAUUUGGAGGCUCUGAUCACAGCAGAGCU